Mya arenaria is the source of this 366-nucleotide long non-coding RNA. RefSeq lists it as uncharacterized. The record is from RefSeq and is a predicted model, not a curated record. The transcript has 3 exons. Lineage: Eukaryota; Metazoa; Mollusca; Bivalvia; Myida; Myidae.
GAAGCAGACCCAGGAGGAACUGUCUGUUGAAGACCCCCCCCCCACCACCACCAAGCUGCCCACCAGAGGCCAAGCUGUACUUGGUGUUUGCCAACAUGCUGUAAUUUCCAGCCUGGUUGCUGUAGCCACAGAGGAAUUUUCAAGGACAAGAACCAGUGCUGGUAAAACUGUGGUCUCUGUGGUUUUCCAUACCGGCUCUCGGCAAGGAUUUUCAAGAAAGGAAUACCAUCUCCAAAUCAUGAUGUGCCAAUAAGCUCCAGUUAGGCUGCGGCCUUUUCCCCAGGCGGUAGUCCUGCAAUCUGAAUCCAGGAGAUGCAGCUCUGAAUCCAAUAUUUCAGAAGAAUGAAGAUGUUAGUCAACUCUGUA